GCAAGUCGAACGAACCUUCGGGUGAGUGGCGCACGGGUGCGUAACACGUGGGAAUAUACACACAGGUAAGGAAUAACACAGAGAAAUUUGUGCUAAUACCUUAUAAUGACUCCGGUCCAAAGAUUUAUCGCCUGUGGAUUAGCCCGCGCUAGAUUAGCUUGUUGGUGAGGUAAAAGCUCACCAAGGCUACGAUCUAUAGCUGGUCUGAGAGGACGACC
Molecule: ribosomal RNA, 218 nt
Filed under: uncultured bacterium
Lineage: Bacteria
Description: partial 16S ribosomal RNA
Rfam family: Bacterial small subunit ribosomal RNA
Source: RNAcentral